Molecule: ribosomal RNA, 441 nt
Filed under: uncultured bacterium
Lineage: Bacteria
Description: bacterial SSU rRNA
Rfam family: Bacterial small subunit ribosomal RNA
Source: RNAcentral
AACGCGAAGAACCUUACCUGCCCUUGACAUACCAGGAACCUAGCAGAGAUGUUGGGGUGCCGAAAGGAGCCUGGAUACAGGUGCUGCAUGGCUGUCGUCAGCUCGUGUCGUGAGAUGUUGGGUUAAGUCCCGUAACGAGCGCAACCCUUAUCAUUAGUUACCAUCAAGUAAAGUUGGGGACGCUAAUGAGACUGCUGGUGAGAAGCCGGAGGAAGGCGGGGACGACGUCAAGUCAUCAUGGCCCUUACGGGCAGGGCUACACACGUGCUACAAUGGUCGGUACAGAAGGCGGCGAACCCGAGAGGGGGAGCGAAUCCUUUAAAGCCGGUCGUAGUCCGGAUCGGAGUCUGCAACUCGACUCCGUGAAGUCGGAAUCGCUAGUAAUCGCGAAUCAGCAUGUCGCGGUGAAUACGUUCCCGGGCCUUGUACACACCGGUACUA